This 2522-nucleotide long non-coding RNA is filed under the name Pan troglodytes (chimpanzee). RNAcentral describes it as "lincRNA". The record is from RNAcentral. Lineage: Eukaryota; Metazoa; Chordata; Mammalia; Primates; Hominidae.
UCCAUCAAGGUGUCACCAAUCUUCCAGCCUCCCAGGCAGAAGUCUUUGAGAGACAAGUGGAUGGAAAAACUUUUUGGCCCUCUUCCUUAGGAUCAGAAGGCAAAGAUUGACCAGACCAAGCCCUGAGACACAGUGUUGAGAGCCAAGACAUAAAGUUGUGAAGAUUCAGACCCAGAGCCCAGCAGGGUACAGGCUGGAGGGGUGAUGUGAGUGAUCAGUAACACCAUGAAGACUCUGCUCCUGGGUCAGGAAUGCUUUUUUGUCCCUGUUUUGGAUUUUCCACCAUGAACAGCCAAUGCAGGAAGAAAUCUAAAGGUGAAGGAAAGGCAGCGUUCAGCACUGAGCAAGUCCAUGUUGGAGAAAGUUCACAGGGAAUUGGAAAUCCUUGUCUUCGUGGUUCCUGGCUCAGCAGGACCCCUGUGGGGCCUCUCCCUCUCUUGGGAAAGAGACUGCUCUAGAAGGUUUACUACACCAGUGAGGAGAAGAUGAGCGCAAGGGGGAUUGGCUGGCUGAGGGCGAAAUCAAGACUGGAGCCAAGUGCGCUGAGCUCUCACAUGAGGUCCUUUGCUCCUGUUCCCUGGAGGCAUAAGUGGCUGGGGUAGAGAGAAGCAGGGGUAUUUCUUCUGUCCUUUCUUGCUUAGGGAGUGGGGGUGGAAAUCUCCCUGCAUCUAAGGAAAUUUGAAAAGACAAACUAUGGUUGCUUCUUCAAGCAAACCACCUCACCACACUAUCCAGGGGAUAAAACCCGCUUGCUGCUGCUAAAUUAUGCCAAGAGAGAACAUUCUGAUCUUUCUCCUCAAUUCUAGGCAUGACAGUGUGACUCGGUGCUUAAAGGCAUGGAGUUUUGAGUUGCAGACCUAGGUUUGAGUGCUGAAUCUACUAGCUUCAGGGUGUUAAAAAAGUUUCUUAAUCUCUCUAAACCUUAUUUUUCUCAAAGGUAAAAAACUGGGUGUAGUUGUGAGUAUAGUGAAUGCACAUAGUAUGUGCAUUUGGCAUGUUAAUUCACUAUUAUUCUGGACAUAGUUUCUCCUAAGAAAAAGGAUGAACUAAUUGCAGGGCCUAGCCUAAGCUCUGAGAAGUCAUUUGUUAUAGCAUUUCAGUCCAUAGUAAACAAGAAGAAAUGAGGUAAAGAGUUUAAACCAGGGAAGGCAUAGCUGUGGUCACCAAACAACCUGUUGAAGGCGAGCUGUAGGCACCAAAAAACCUAUUACGGACUGAAUUGUGUUCCUCAAAUUCAUACGUUGAAGUCCUAACCCCAAGUACCGAAUGUGACUGUAUUUGGGGAUACGGUCCCUGAAGAAGUCACUCAGCUGGAAGGAGUCAUAUUGGAUUAGGUGUUGGGAAUUGGCUGGCCAAGGGAGAAAUCAAGGCUGGAACCAAGUGCUGAACUCUCACAUCAGGUCCUUUAGUCCUGUUCCCUGGACCCUAAUCCAAUAUGACUGGCAUCUUUAUAUGAAGAGGAAGAGGCACCAGAGGGUACACACGCAGAGAAAAGGCCAUGUGUGGACACAGUAAGAUGACGAACAUCUGUAAGCCAAGGAGGGAAACCUCAGAAGAAACCAGUCUUGCCUGCACCUUGAUCUUGGAGGUCCAGUCUCCAGAACUGUGAAAAAAAUGAACUGGUGUUGUUUAAAUCCCCCAGUCUGUGGUAUUUUGUCAUGGUGGCCCUAGAAGACAAAUAUACAACCCAAAGGAAUAUUCUUUCCACUUUCUCCCUCUUCCACUUUAUAGUUUUUUCUCCUUCGUUUCUUUCUUUUUCUCUUUUACUUUCCUUUUCUUCUCUUCUCUUUCCUCUGGUUUUUAAUUUUAAUUUUAAUUUUUGGCCUUGCUAUACCUCCAUUUGCCUUUCCAGGAAGCUGAAUUCCAGACAAUUAAUCAUUCAUCUCAUCAGUUCAGCAAAGCAAAUGCCCUCAAUGGUUUCUUUUGUGAUUCGAUUAUUAUGGGAUCAGAAUGUAACUUAUUCCUCUGGGAAAAAUGAAACAUAAAAAUUUCAGAAAUAAGGUUUUGGGCCAGCUUCAUUGGUUUUAAGAGAAGGAAGGGAGGAGACUCAUGCAGGUUUGACGCUGAGCAGCACCAUGUGGUUGGGCCUGGCAGGCACUCGAGGCUUUAGGUCUUGGUUUGAAUCCAGACUAGAAAAUCAUUACUUAUUAAAAGCCUUGAGGGUUUGGGUCUAGGAAAGUCUAUGUGAAGAGAUAAUAGUUUGGAAAAAGUUUUGCAGAACUAAAGAAAAGUUUCCACAGUUACCUUUUCUGUCCUAAUGUAGAGCAUCUUUGUUAACUAGGUCUUGGAUCAAUCCAAGCUGUGUCUGAGAAUAACCAUUUAUAAUUUCUCACUGGCCAGCACUAACACCCUUUAGAAAAGGAACUCAAAGCAGCCCUAGCAGCCAGAGUCAUGCAAUCAUGGUGGGAGUACAGCUCCUCACCAAGGUCAGCUCCUUAGUGAAAUCCAUGCCUUCUGGAGGACUGCUUGUAAAUAAAUACUAAGCACAACCAUUAAAAAAUAAUUUGGCUGUGACCAUCAAA